RNAcentral lists this ribosomal RNA (369 nucleotides) under uncultured bacterium. RNAcentral's name for it is "bacterial SSU rRNA". It matches the Rfam family "Bacterial small subunit ribosomal RNA", at positions 527 to 896 of the family's 1533-position model. The record is from RNAcentral.
GUAGGGUGCAAGCGUUAAUCGGAAUUACUGGGCGUAAAGCGUGCGCAGGCGGUUUUGUAAGUCUGUCGUGAAAUCCCCGGGCUCAACCUGGGAAUGGCGAUGGAGACUGCAAGGCUAGAGUUUGGCAGAGGGGGGUAGAAUUCCACGUGUAGCAGUGAAAUGCGUAGAUAUGUGGAGGAACACCGAUGGCGAAGGCAGCCCCCUGGGUCAAAACUGACGCUCAUGCACGAAAGCGUGGGGAGCAAACAGGAUUAGAUACCCUGGUAGUCCACGCCCUAAACGAUGUCUACUAGUUGUCGGGUCUUAAUUGACUUGGUAACGCAGCUAACGCGUGAAGUAGACCGCCUGGGGAGUACGGUCGCAAGAUUA